GACGAACGCUGGCGGCGUGCCUAAUACAUGCAAGUCGAGCGAACAGACGAGGAGCUUGCUCCUGGGACGUUAGCGGCGGACGGGUGAGUAACACGUGGGUAACCAACCUAUAAGACUGGGACAACUUCGGGAAACCGGCGCCAAGAGCGGGUAAUAUUUCGAACCGCAUGGUUCGAUAGGGAAAGAUGGCUUUGCUGUCACUUAUAGAUGGACCUGCGCCUUAUUGGCUAGUUGGUACGGGAAGGGCUUACAAAGGCAGAGAUACGUACCGCACCUGAGAGCGUCGACGGCUAGACUGGAACUGAGACUCGUCCCACACUCCUGCGCGGGGCCGCAGUAGGAACUCUUCCGGAAGGCGCGAGUGCCUGAUGUUGCAACGCCGCGUGAGUGCUGAUGGUCUUCUGACCGUAAAACGCUGUUAUUAGUGGAGUUCAAACGUGUAAGUAACUGAGCACGUCAUGACGGUACCUGGUCAGAAAGCCACGGCUAACUUCGUG
Molecule: ribosomal RNA, 497 nt
Filed under: uncultured bacterium
Lineage: Bacteria
Description: partial 16S ribosomal RNA
Rfam family: Bacterial small subunit ribosomal RNA
Source: RNAcentral